CAUCUUGUGGCUUAGUUGGUAGAGCAUUUGGCCAACAACGAAAAGGCUGUGUGUUCAAAUCCCAAGGAAAGCA
Molecule: non-coding RNA, 73 nt
Organism: Danionella cerebrum
Lineage: Eukaryota; Metazoa; Chordata; Actinopteri; Cypriniformes; Danionidae
Source: the annotation of a GenBank genome assembly